AACACAGAAGUGUGCCAGCUUCAUUUGAUGUGGAUGUACCAGAUAUUCAUGUGUCAGAAAUACUGAGAAAGCCUGGGAAGAAAGAGAGGCUGGAAUGUAUUGCUUUAGUGGAAUAUGUCUCCAUGGGCUGGCAAUACGAAAGAUGUGAAGGACUUCCUGUGUGGCUGACGAUCUGAAGGGAAGAGCCACAGAAGACACAGAGGACAACUGCU
Molecule: long non-coding RNA, 212 nt
Filed under: Corvus moneduloides (New Caledonian crow)
Lineage: Eukaryota; Metazoa; Chordata; Aves; Passeriformes; Corvidae
Description: lncRNA (ENSCMUG00000019948.1)
Source: RNAcentral